Molecule: transfer RNA, 73 nt
Filed under: Pteropus alecto (black flying fox)
Lineage: Eukaryota; Metazoa; Chordata; Mammalia; Chiroptera; Pteropodidae
Rfam family: tRNA
About the family: Transfer RNA (tRNA) molecules are approximately 80 nucleotides in length.
Source: Rfam by way of RNAcentral
GGUUCCAUAGUGUAGUGGUUAGCACGUCUGCUUUACACGCAGAAGGUCUUAGGUUCAUGCCUCAGUGGAGCCA